RNAcentral lists this non-coding RNA (148 nucleotides) under Gorilla gorilla gorilla (western lowland gorilla). Lineage: Eukaryota; Metazoa; Chordata; Mammalia; Primates; Hominidae. The record is from Rfam by way of RNAcentral.
GCUGGGCGUGGUGGCGGGCGCCUAUAAUCCCAGUUACUUGGGAGGCUGAGGCAGGAGAAUUGCUUGAACCCAGGGGGUGGAGGUUGCAGUGAGCCGACAUCCUGCCACUGCACUCCAGCCUGGGUAACAGAGCAAGACUCUGUCUCAA